Gasterosteus aculeatus aculeatus (three-spined stickleback) is the source of this 1498-nucleotide long non-coding RNA. Lineage: Eukaryota; Metazoa; Chordata; Actinopteri; Perciformes; Gasterosteidae. The record is from Ensembl.
AUUCCUUUCCCCUCACCGUUUGAGGCUCCUCUUGUAGGACUCUCCCCUCCAUCGCAUUCAUCCUGGCUUUCCUUCCUCGGUGCUCUUUUUCCACACUGAGUACAGCUUUUGGGAGCAGCACUGUGGCAGCAUCUUGGACUUUUGCACGCUUCCUCUUUCUCUCCUCUGGGAGAGUGUUUACCGGCCAGGCCCCCUUUGUCUCGCUCUUCCUGCCUUUCUUCCAGAGUGAAUUCUGCAGCAGGAUCCUCCCUGACACCCUGCUGCCUCUUUCUGUUCACGUCUGUUUUCUCCCGGGCUGCUGGAUUGCUGGACUUCCUCCAUCUCCGGCCGGAUCGCACCCUCACCCGGUUUACUCCGUUAUGGGCCGGCGGAGUCAGUCCGUGGUCCCUCCUCCCGGCUGGGAUGUCUCUGCCUCCUCCUGUCUUCCCCCUCAGCCAUCCCCCCACCACGCUGGAGGCUGCGCCGGCAGUCACAGCGGACCCAGGCUUCGCCGUGGAGUACAAAAAGCUCCCUUUCUCAGUCCGGAGGAAGAGGCAUUGGGUCUGUGUCUUCCCGCUGCCCUCGGAGGUCUUCAGAGUGGCAACUGUGACCAAAGAUCCGAUCCCAGCCUGCCUGGCAUCCAGCCCCAAUGGAAGGCCGUACCCCAUGCAACCCCACUCCCUGUUAAGGUACACAUCCGCAGGCCGGGUGCAGGAGGUCGAACCUCCACGGCCCGCAGGAGAAGUUAUGGGCGCUUGUCCCCCACUCAGGAGACCACCAGCCUUCCGGCGGUUCUUGGAGCACAGGGCCCAGGCUCGGAGGCCCCGGAUUAGCGGCAGAUCUCCAAGGCCCAGCUCCAUUCGGCUGGGGAAGGGCAAAGAGGCUCGGGAGCACUUCUGCAGCAUCUCCCUGGUGGAGGCCGACACAUUCAGAUAUUCUAAUUUCGGUGUUUUCAGCAAUUUUUUUAAAUCCACUUCAGCUUCUGCCAUUUCUGUAUUUUCUGAAAUUAAAGAGGUUCUCGUGGACCUGGAGCCCAAUGUCAUCGAUGAGGUGGACAGGGGGACUUACUGCCGCCUGUUCCACCCUGAGCAGCUGAUCACUGCUUAGGAGGAUGCUGCUAACAAUUAAGCCUGUGGAAACAAUAUCACAGGCGUAGUGCUGGACAGGAUUCCCAAGCUGUCUGACCAGCUCCAGAGGUGGGACCGGCUUCACCUCUCCCCUGAUGGAGCAUCUGUCUGUCGACUACAUCCUAAGACACCACAGACUCUAACGCUACGUACCUGAAUCCCUACCGGCUGCUCCAAGGGACUCUCCUCCAGUCCGUAACCUGGAACUCGGACUACCCUCCAGUUAACGUUCCAUCCUGAUCAUCUGCCUGCCUAUUCAUUAUAUAUCCGUCUGGUUCCGCUAUCUUGUCAAUAAACUAUUGUACUUACCUCACGGCUGUCUCUUGUACCCCAUUCGUGACAGAUUUGAAGUCUGGUCUAACUGAGCUGUUAUUAAACAAACUUGUGCGUGG